GUUUAUAUAGUUUAAAUUUAAAACUUUACAUUUUCAUUGUAAAAAUAAAAAAAAAUUUUUUUAUAAAUA
Molecule: transfer RNA, 69 nt
Filed under: Achaea serva
Lineage: Eukaryota; Metazoa; Arthropoda; Insecta; Lepidoptera; Erebidae
Description: tRNA-Glu
Source: RNAcentral